CUCGACAUUUCGUAGUUGGUGAGUAGUAAACUAGACAAAUUCUUCGAACAUAAUAAUUGAUCGGACACACAAUUAACAUGAUGUUUGUAAAAAAUAUAGGAAGACACAUAAUGGUCACUACAAUUUGAAAAUUGAAAUUUAACCCUAACAGUAUUGAUUUCAAUAUACUUGCAAAAACAGUAUAUGUCAAAUUCAACGAAAAUCUAACACAAUUUAUCUCAUUUUGGGAUGGCCUAGUAAACAUUUUUCAUUGAAACAUGAAAUCUCACUGAAAACGUCAUUUACAAUUUAAAAUUAACUCAAUCAUAUAGUUAACGAAAUGGGAAUAAAUUGCUGGAAUAAAUGCAUAUACAUAUAUAUGGACUAGAUACUAGAUGAAAUCAACAAUAAAUGUACAAAUCAACAAUAAAUGUACAAUGUUAUCCAAACUAAAUAAUAAAAUGUGAAUGCAAGUACAUCACAAAUAUCAAUAGGAAUGUAUGUGUGCAAUUGAUUUUCCAACAAAAGGAAUUUGAAAUUUAUCUGCAAAAAUGGUAACGUGAAGAAAUAAGAUGAUGAUAUAUCGUACAUUUAAUAUCUAAUACAUGAAGAAGAGCAGUUGAAUCAAACGAGGCAUAUGAACAAAAUUGUCAAGAAAAAGUAAGUAAUAUCGAUAAUUUUAUAAUUUUAACUGUAAAAAAAUGAUAGUUAAUCUUGAUGGAUGGAUUUCAUAACUAUAGAGAUUGACGGUUUAUCAUGACCUAUGAAUUCUAUAACAAAUAAUGGGAAGUCUCUAUAGCAUUAACAAAGCAUCACCAAAAUAGGAUAACCAAACUCUUUCAAUAAUUAAUAAAAAUAAAUAACACCUACAACAUGUAAAUGGAAUCUCAAAUCCAAACUUUCUACUGCAGCAAGUGCAAUUAAAACCAAGCUUAUUGUUUCAUUUCUACAACCCUAAUAGCAAAAAGUACUCCGCCUCAAAAUUAAUGAUUAAAGAAAAUGUCUAUCAAAAACAUAUUUUUAGCACAAAUCAACAAGUAAUCCAUGAGUAUUGCAAAAUAUGUUACAAAAAUAUUGCAAAAUAUGAGAAAUAGUCACUUCUAGUAAAAUUCGAGAGAUAUUGCAAAAUACAGGGAAUGUACUAGACUUAUAGUUAUACUUCAUUACCGGCAUCACUGACAGGAAAUUAAAUCUGAAACUUUAAGGACGAGAGUUGCGUGGAAGAAGAAAUUGUCCAGAAGAAAAUCAAUGUUCUAAUUACAGAUUUACGGUCUAAGUUCAUCUAAACUUCCUUCCAAAAAUGGGAAAAAUUGCCGAAAAUGAUUUUGUGAAGAAGAAAAUCGUGGGCUGAAAAAAUUGCCAGAAGUAAUUUUUGCGAAGAAGAAAAUGAAAGGGGGAAGCAGUAUGGGUUAACGUUUGAGUUCUUGGGGUUAGGUUUAGA
RNAcentral lists this long non-coding RNA (1420 nucleotides) under Olea europaea subsp. europaea. Lineage: Eukaryota; Viridiplantae; Streptophyta; Magnoliopsida; Lamiales; Oleaceae. The record is from RNAcentral.